This 385-nucleotide ribosomal RNA is filed under the name Loxosceles diaguita. Its description in RNAcentral is "partial 16S ribosomal RNA". It matches the Rfam family "Archaeal large subunit ribosomal RNA", at positions 2026 to 2678 of the family's 2987-position model. The record is from RNAcentral. Lineage: Eukaryota; Metazoa; Arthropoda; Arachnida; Araneae; Sicariidae.
UGCUAAGGUAGCACAAUAACUUGCCCUAUAAUUAAGGGAUAGAAUGAAAGGAUACACGAUUUAUUAACUUUUUCUAAAAUAAUGUAUAAAAUUUACAUAUAUGUAAAAAGUCAUUCAUAUAAAAGAAGGACGACAAGACCCUGUUGAACUUUACAUUUAGUUAUGCUGGGAAGGCAAAAAAUUAAAACUUUACAAUUACCAAAAUCUAGACCUGGGAAAAUACCAAUAUAUAGAAAAAGUUACCACAGGGAUAACAGCGCAAUUUUACUUAAGAGCACAUAUUUAAAGUAAAGAUUACGACCUCGAUGUUGAAUUAAUUUAACUUCUCCAAGCAAAAAUGAUAAAAGUAGGUCUGUUCGACCUUUAAUAAAUUACAUGAUCUGAG